Molecule: long non-coding RNA, 204 nt
Filed under: Elaeis guineensis (African oil palm)
Lineage: Eukaryota; Viridiplantae; Streptophyta; Magnoliopsida; Arecales; Arecaceae
Description: long non-coding RNA (EGUI_LNC011391)
Source: RNAcentral
GGACAGAUGCGUCAAAUCGUCCAAUCAAUGGUCGGUCCAGAUGUUAUCACGUGUCGUCAUCUGAUAGAUCUUCGAUUUGUCCACCUUCAUCUCGACUGUUGAGGGAUCCUAUAUAAAGGGUCGCUCUCAGCCAAAUUUUUAUUUUUCAUUAUUUUUGGUGCUGGGAAUCUACCGGAUUGUUGCCCCAAAGUCCAAGGUUAUCGC